UACGUAGGGUGCAAGCGUUGUCCGGAAUUAUUGGGCGUAAAGAGCUCGUAGGCGGUUUGUCGCGUCUGCUGUGAAAACUCGGGGCUUAACCCCGGGCCUGCAGUGGGUACGGGCAGACUAGAGUGCGGUAGGGGAGACUGGAAUUCCCGGUGUAGCGGUGAAAUGCGCAGAGAUCGGGAGGAACACCCGUAGCGAAGGCGGCUUCCUGGGCCGCGCCUGACGCUGAGACGCGAAAGCGUGGGGAGCGAACGGG
Molecule: ribosomal RNA, 253 nt
Filed under: uncultured bacterium
Lineage: Bacteria
Description: partial 16S ribosomal RNA
Rfam family: Bacterial small subunit ribosomal RNA
Source: RNAcentral